Long non-coding RNA from Xenopus laevis (African clawed frog), 1100 nucleotides. RefSeq lists it as uncharacterized. The record is from RefSeq and is a predicted model, not a curated record. Lineage: Eukaryota; Metazoa; Chordata; Amphibia; Anura; Pipidae. The transcript is spliced from 4 exons.
UUUUGGGAUUACACAUUUCUGACAUUUGUGCACUUAUUUUCUAAACCCAAUCUUCAGUGUUUGUGUCUGACUUGCUGCUGUCUCUUUGUUUCUUUAAAUGUUUCAAGGAAAAGGACUGAAAUCUCGCCGUAGGCACGACAGCCAGCGACACAAUGACACCAUUUUUCUUUAGCCAAUAAAUAAUAAUAUGCUCUGGAUAUUAACCCCAUAGUGCCUCUGUCAGAACAAGCUGCAAUUUGUUUACACAAUGGGCUUCCACACCUACAUAUGAAGCAAGGCAAGAUGGAGAUGUUGGAAGGCCCCCACCCCAUGGGAAAUGAUAGAGGGGAACAUUCAGCUAAUGAUGUCAGAAAAAUAUCUGAGUCAUAAAAUGGAUUCUCUAUGGACAUUAAAUGGAAAACACUGGAAAAAAACACGAGGAGGAGAACAAAUUGUAUUUGCGUGAGGAAUGUUAGAACACUUGGACUUGCCAGUUACACGGGGGCAUUCUAUCUGAUACCCAAUUUAAGGAGCAUACCUGUCGUACUUUAUGGCUGUGAUUCUAUCUUUUAUCAUGGAUAAGCAGAAAUCUGGCAAUAAAAGAGCAUUAUAUAAGUUAGCUUUCUGUGCGACCAGGGCUUUUUCAUUGCGCAUUUGGAUGUGAGGAGGCUGAGAAGUGGUGACAGAUAUAAUUGUGCCAAAGAAUAAAAAUUCCAGGCGUGUUUCUGGAAGAUUAAGUAGAAACCCAGUGGAGAGUCUUACUCAGUCAGAACACUCAGCACUUACACUGUGACAAGCGUAGAAAACUGGGGGGAAUUUUAUGGAUUCUGAGGUCUGAGAGCUAAACUGUAAAACCCUUGCGCUGCCAAACGCCAGCACUUCCCUGACUGGGGAAAGGGCAGUUAAUCAGACAUGGGACUGGCUGUCACUGGAUCAAUGAGUGAUAUUAUUAUUAUGAUGUAGGAACAUCCUGUCUGGUAGCACUUCCUGCUGAAUGCACCUGUCAUAUACUGCUCUGCACGAGCUCCACACACCAAAUUCCUGCUGUGCUCUGCAGGCAAUGGCCAAAGGAUGUGAUUUAAUAAACUUUAAACUGUCCGGUCACAUCAGAUCAGCUCUUU